RNAcentral lists this ribosomal RNA (481 nucleotides) under uncultured bacterium. RNAcentral describes it as "partial 16S ribosomal RNA". It matches the Rfam family "Bacterial small subunit ribosomal RNA", at positions 28 to 523 of the family's 1533-position model. The record is from RNAcentral.
GACGAACGCUGGCGGCGUGCUUAACACAUGCAAGUCGAACGAUGAAGGAGAGCUUGCUCUCCGGAUUAGUGGCGAACGGGUGAGUAACACGUGACUAACCUGCCCCUUUCUCUGGGAUAACGCUCCGAAAGGAGUGCUAAUACCGGAUACGAACUCUGAACACAUGUUCGGAGUUGGAAAGUUUUUCGGAAAGGGAUGGAGUCGCGGCCUAUCAGCCUGUUGGUGAGGUAACGGCUCACCAAGGCGACGACGGGUAGCCGGCCUGAGAGGGCGAGCGGCCACACUGGGACUGAGACACGACCCAGACUCCUACGGGAGGCAGCAGUGGGGAAUAUUGCACAAUGGGCGAAAGCCUGAUGCAACGACGCAGCGAGGGGGAUGAAGGUCUUCGGAUUGUAAACCUCUUUCAGUAGGGACGAAGCGAAAGUGACGGUACCUAAAGAAGAAGCACCGGCUAACUACGUGCCAGCCGCCGCGGUAA